RNAcentral lists this ribosomal RNA (481 nucleotides) under uncultured bacterium. RNAcentral describes it as "partial 16S ribosomal RNA". It matches the Rfam family "Bacterial small subunit ribosomal RNA", at positions 28 to 507 of the family's 1533-position model. The record is from RNAcentral.
GAUGAACGCUGGCGGCGUGCUUAACACAUGCAAGUCGAACGAAGCAUUUGCGACAGAUUUUUUCGGAAUGAAGUUGCUUAUGACUGAGUGGCGGACGGGUGAGUAACGCGUGGGUAACCUGCCUUGUACUGGGGGAUAGCAGCUGGAAACGGCUGGUAAUACCGCAUAAGCGCACAAUGUUGCAUGACAUGGUGUGAAAAACUCCGGUGGUAUAAGAUGGACCCGCGUCUGAUUAGCUAGUUGGUGAGAUAACAGCCCACCAAGGCGACGAUCAGUAGUCGACCUGAGAGGGUGACCGGCCACAUUGGGACUGAGACACGGCCCAGACUCCUACGGGAGGCAGCAGUGGGGAAUAUUGCACAAUGGAGGAAACUCUGAUGCAGCGACGCCGCGUGAGUGAAGAAGUAAUUCGUUAUGUAAAGCUCUAUCAGCAGGGAAGAUAGUGACGGUACCUGACUAAGAAGCUCCGGCUAAAUACGUG